AUACGUAGGUGGCGAGCGUUGUCCGGACUUACUGGGCGUAAAGGGAGCGUAGGCGGAUUUUUAAGUGAGAUGUGAAAUACCCGGGCUUAACCUGGGUGCUGCAUUCCAAACUGGAUAUCUAGAGUGCAGGAGAGGAAAGUAGAAUUCCUAGUGUAGCGGUGAAAUGCGUAGAGAUUAGGAAGAAUACCAGUGGCGAAGGCGGCUUUCUGGACUGUAACUGACGUUGAGGCGCGAAAGCGUGGGGAGC
This 247-nucleotide ribosomal RNA is filed under the name uncultured bacterium. RNAcentral describes it as "partial 16S ribosomal RNA". It matches the Rfam family "Bacterial small subunit ribosomal RNA", at positions 523 to 769 of the family's 1533-position model. The record is from RNAcentral.